AUGUCUGUCUCUCUAUCUACAUUGUUCGAUGCUUUUUUAAUUAAUUGCAAAUUACUAAGCAGAAGCAGAGAAAAUUUCGCGAAUCCAAAUCGCAUUUAUUUCAGAAGUUUGUGCAAAAUCUUGUGUUCUAUACUCGAAAGUGUUUAAUAUAUUGUGCGAGGAGAGCAAUAAUUUUGAAACAUACCUACAAAAAAGAAAAUUCGACCGCGAAAAACAGAAAUUAUUGAGUAGUGCAAUUUGCUGGCGAAAACUUCACAAAGGCAAACCGAAAUUGUAUAACAAAGCAGAAGAAGUUGGAGAAAGAAGAACUUACGCUUUGAAAAUUCUACUAUCUUACAUUUUGGCCUAUGUACAUUGUAGUUACAAAUUCAAAAAUAUUGCGUGGUGCAAAAGCUUAAUAAAAGCAACUUAAAACUUCCAUAACUUAGCAAACAAGUACUUUACUUGCUCAAAUUACAGCAAAUAUCUACCGGCAGGAAACAUUUUAUAAAACAAAUAAAUACAUACAUACAUAUUUAUUUAUGCAAUUGCAAAAAAAUUUAAGUAAAUGUUAGAGUGAACUGAAAUUUUUGGGCGUAAAAACCGGAACUGCAGACUGUUUCGUGUGCCUUUAAUAGAAGGAAUGAGUGAAAUUUUCCAAUAAAAAAAAAAAAAAAACAUUAAAAUAUCUGUAAACUCAUAUGUAUCUACAUUAGUAUAUACUAACUCAGUGUUUAUAAAGUGAACUGCAAAGUAUUUACCAAGCGCACUUCAAAUCUUUUUGUAGUCUACGCCGACGAUUUUUUGUGUAAUUGGCUAUUUUUAGCAUAUCGAUGUGCCGAAAGUGCAUUAAGGCUUCCCAGUAGUUAAAAAAAAAAAUCGCAAAAAUAUCGAAAUAAUACGCAAGCAAUAAAUGUAAAAGUCUUGUCCGGAACUGAUUGCUAUUGUCGCCAAAGGUUUAUUCCGCAAAACAAUAAGUAUUUCAACAACAAAAAAAAAAAAUUAAAAAGACUGUGGAAAAUUCAAAUUAAAGUGCUUAGUUGCGUCACAUGUGCCCGUAUGUAUGUAAUUUUCUCCUCGACUAAAACGAUCCAACAGUAGCUUCCACCUCUUCUAAAAACAUAUGCGUAUUGUGUUCUCGUUUUACAUACCUAUGAACAUGCAAACAACAAAUUAACGCAACGCUAUCACAUAAUCAACGCCAACAUACCUAAAUACAUUUACAUACAUAAAUAUAUAACCAUACUUUUAUGCAAUAAAUAUUAAAUGCAAUUGUACCGUAUUGGAAUUUGGAAUUAAAAGCCAGCAUACUCCUUGGUGUAAAGUGAAAGCAAAAAAAACCAAAAAAAAAAUUGAAAUAAGUCCAUACCUACAGAUAUAAAACACCUGUGAAUUGCUCAAAGUGUGUUUCAGAGGCCGCCACCCGGCUACGCGCCUGCAGAAGAAAAUAUUAACAAAUCGUUGGUGCCAUACAAACAUUCAUACGCUCUCACAAAAAGUCUAAAAUACUUGCUUAUUGCAGUUAAUUUGCCGAAAGCCGCAAAGUGUCAAGCAAAGUAAAGUGCCAAGUAAAGAUAGUGGACAAAAACAAAAGUGCUAAAAAGCGUAUGUCUAGAAACAGAGAAGAACUGAUAAGAGAAUAAAUAGCAGACUCAGCCCCAUUAGCUAAGCGAAAGUGUCGAAAAGCAACAAGCUGAAAGUGCCAACAAAACAGGAGAAGCAAAUAAAAACAAAAAGACGAAAUAAAGAAAACAGCAAAGCAAAGAUACAUAAAUAAGUAAAUAUUCGGUGAGAAAUAGCGCGUUGAUUGGCGGAAGCAAACAAAAAUUCUGAAAGAUCUGAAAUACAAAGUGGCAUGUGAAUGCAGCACGCUAUACACGAGAUACUGGAAUUUAAAUAAAGUAGCAGAAAAAAACGAAAAAAAAAAAAAAAAAAAAAAAUAAAUAUUAAUAAGGACCAAACAUAGAAAGAAAGAGUGAAGAAUUGCUAAAAUAAAAGCUAAAUUAAAAACAAAUCAAAGUAAUAAGUAGCAAAUACUCAAGUAAAAAGCUAUAAGUACAAUCUACAAUAAAAAGUGUGUGCAACUUGAAGUGUUGAAAAAAAAAAUUAAAAUCCGCAAUUUUGGAAAACAGUAUAAAACUACUAAAAACAGUUGAAAUUGCAGAAACUUAAAUCGAGUGCUCUCUACAAUACAUUAAUUGAUUAUUUUGCAAAAAAAAAAACAAAAGUAAUUGCUCCAUAAAAGUAGUGCGUUUACAUUGUGCUGCCAGACGAAAUUUGAAGCAAGAAUUUGUAAACACAGAA
Molecule: long non-coding RNA, 2283 nt
Filed under: Rhagoletis pomonella (apple maggot)
Lineage: Eukaryota; Metazoa; Arthropoda; Insecta; Diptera; Tephritidae
Description: uncharacterized LOC118747277
Source: RNAcentral